Molecule: transfer-messenger RNA, 356 nt
Filed under: bacterium
Lineage: Bacteria
Also listed under: 2 other names
Description: TMED80 sp002170405 Standard tmRNA
Rfam family: transfer-messenger RNA
About the family: Bacterial tmRNA, also known as 10Sa RNA or SsrA, is named for its dual tRNA and mRNA-like properties. Its role is to liberate the mRNA from a stalled ribosome.
Source: RNAcentral
GGGGGCGACCGGCAUUCGACGAGAUAUGUGAGAUGCCAAAUCGCAUGCGGAGGAUUUCAGUACCCUCCUUAAUCAUCUGAUAAAAACAAUAUAUGCCGAUUAUGGCUAUAUGGCUGCAGCUUAAUUGAGGUAGCCCGCUUCUUAAUCAAUUUGCUUGUAGUUUUUUAAAGGAGCGUCAUCAAUACAAGCUAGUUUCAAAUCCGCCUAUGAAUUUGAAAUGAAAUAUAAUAGGCUGGCUCUUUUUGAUUUGGGUCUCUAAUAGAAAGAAGAGUAAGAAAAUAAUUAGAAGACUAAGCAUGUAGAAGUUUUUCAUUAAACUAUUUCGGACGGGAGUUCGAUUCUCCCCGCCUCCACAU